AAGUGCUAUUUGAGGGGGACGGAGGUAAGCGGAACGGGAGCAAAUGGGAAAGAAAACGAUAGAAGAAAUGGGGGAGGCGCCGGAGAAGGCGAGGCGUGAAUUUCCGGCUUUCCCCUUCGAUCCCUACCCAAUCCAAACGGACUUCAUGGCUUUCCUCUACGACUCCCUGGAGAAGGGCGGUAUCGCCAUGCUCGAGAGCCCCACUGGAACGGGGAAAACCCUAAGCAUCAUCUGCAGCACGAUGCAGUGGGUCGUCGAUCGGAGGAAGCAGCAGCGCGAGCAGCAGAAGGGGAAGCCCGGCGACACGAAAACCUCCAGCAUUGAUGAAGAGGAGGAGCCGGAUUGGAUGAGGGAUUUUGCCAUCCCAGGUACGAAGAAGGAGGAGGGGGGAAGGAGGAGAUUAGGGUCUGGAUUGGUAAAAUCGAAGAAGGCCUCUUUCGUAAAGCCCAAGAAUGUGGAGAAAACUGCCGAGGAGUCGCCAGGGAAUGACGAAGAGAUGGAGUUCCUGGUAGAUGAUUAUGAGAGUGAGGCGGAGGAUAUGGAGUAUGGCAUUGGGAGAUCGAAGAGGAAAGGUGGGAGGUGUUUGAGUUCGAGUAGCAGUGAUGAAGAGGAGGGAGAGGGAGGAAUGGAGGAAGAGGAGGUGACCCCCAAGGUUUAUUUCACUAGCCGGACGCAUGCGCAGCUGUCACAGUUUGUGAGGGAGUUCAAAAGGACGGGCUUCACUUCAGAGCUCAAUCUCAUUUGUUUGGGCUCAAGGAAGAACCUGUGCGUCAAUUCUGAUGUUCUGAAACUGGGGAACUCGAACCGGAUCAAUGAGCAUUGCUUGGAGUUGCAGAAGAGCAAGAAGGAUUCCCAAAUCAAGGUCCAGACUGAUAAUGGGAGGGUACAGCAUGUAAAGGCUUCUUCAGGAUGCCCAAUGUUGAGGAAGCAGAAUCUACGUAAACAGUUCAGGACUGAAGUAUGGGAGCAUGGUGCAUCGGACAUUGAAGAUCUUGCGCAGCUAGGAAGGAAAAUUGGGACCUGUUCAUAUUAUGGUGCUCGUGAAAUGGUUCGGGCAGGUGACCUUGUGGUCCUUCCCUACCAAUCUCUACUAUUGAGAUCUGCUCGUGAAUCACUUGGUCUGAACCUGAAGAACAGUGUUGUAGUUAUAGAUGAAGCCCACAAUGUGGCAGACUCCCUCACUAGCAUGUACAACUCAAAAAUCACUGUGUCACAGUUGAAGCAGGUGCUGUCCCACCUUGAGUUGUAUCUUGGCAGGUUUCGGAAUCGUUUGGGAGCUGGAAAUCGACGAUACAUCCAGACUCUGAUUGUUUUAAUCCAGUCCUUCCUCCGGUUGUUGGUUGGCUGCCAGGAAGAUUCUUCUGGUAUUAGUAACAUUCAUGCAGACCAAGCAACUGAAGAGAAAAAUUUUGGUGAUACGUCAAUGACCAUAAAUGAGUUCUUAUUUUCUCUCAAUAUUGACAACAUCAACUUAGUAAAAUUGCAUCGAUAUGUGAAGGAAAGCAACAUCAUUCACAAGGUCACUGGAUAUGGAGCUAAAUUUGCAAGUUCGCGAAUUGGUUCCUUGCAUUCCGAUCACCAGGGCCAUGGUGCAGAAGGAAGUGUAAUAUCUGGUUUUCAGGCUCUAGUUGGUAUCUUUCUCUCUCUUAUAAAUAAUGAUAGUGAUGGAAGAAUGAUAGUCUCAAGGCAGAAGCUUUCUGGGAAAACAGAAGAAGGAUACCUUAAAUUUGUAAUGCUUUGUGGAGAGAAAAUUUUUUCUGAGAUUGCAGGUCAGGCACAUGCUGUUGUCCUGGCAGGGGGGACUCUUCAGCCUAUUGAAGAGACAAGGGUGCGCCUCUUCCCUGGCUUAGCAUUGGAUCACGUGCAUUUUUUUACAUGCAACCAUAUUGUUCCUCCAGAGAGUUUGUUGCCCAUUGCAGUUUCUCGUGGACCCUCUGGCAUGACUUUUGAUUUCAGUUACAAUUCAAGAAGCACUCCAAGCAUGAUAGAUGAGCUAGGACGUUUACUUUGCAAUCUAGUGGCAGUUAUCCCAGAAGGAGUUGUCAUGUUUUUCUCUUCAUUUGACUAUGAAGAACAGGUCUAUAAUACAUGGAGGGCUUCAGGGGUUCUUUCCAAAAUUCUGAAGAAGAAACAUGUAUACAGGGAGCCUAGAAACAGCAUUGAUGUCGAUCUUGUACUGAAGGAAUACAAGAAAGCCAUUGAGUCUCCUAGUGGAAUUCCAAAUGAUUCAAGAACUAAUGGCGCACUUCUUCUAGCUGUUGUCGGUGGAAAGAUUUCUGAAGGUAUAAACUUCAGUGAUGGGAUGGGACGUUGCAUUAUAAUGGUUGGACUUCCUUAUCCAAGUCCCGCUGAUGUUGAGUUGAUGGAAAGAAUCAAAUAUAUAGAAGGUUUAGGAGAACCGUCUUCACUGACACCAAAUAAAUCCUUGGGUAAUAAAUUAUAUGGCAACACUAGAGUUCAGUCUGGCUUUGACAUCUUGAGGAAAUGCAAACAAAGAGGAAGAGAAUACUAUGAGAACUUAUGCAUGAAAGCUGUAAAUCAGUCAAUUGGCAGAGCAAUUAGGCACAUAAAUGACUAUGCUGCAAUAUUGUUGGUCGACUCACGGUACGCAUGCGAUCCAUCAUUUCAGAGUUUCUCACACCCAGCUAACAAGCUACCCCUGUGGAUAAAAGAUCGACUUGUUUCUGCUACUCAAAGCUAUGGGGAAGUCCACAGACUGCUGCGUCAGUUCUUCCAAAUAAGAAGCAGUGUAACCAAAAUUAUUAGCUCUUAAGUACAAUGCUGCAUAUGUUCUUCCAAUUUAAUAGCAGAAGUGGUGUGACAAGAAGUAUAAGCACGUGAAAUCCAUAACGGCAUCAGUUCUCCCAAUUCAAUAAGUAGAGGCAUACCACAUACGUAUGCAGAUGAUAAGGAUUGGAUGUGGCUUAUUUUCUCACUUACCUUAGGAGCUGUUCUCACAAACAUCACCAGAUGAACCUACCAAUUGGUUUAAAGAAGGCAAAUAUUCAGAAUAUAAAAAAUCUUGUUUGUGCAAUUGCUGUUCAGAGCAAAGUGCAAUGGUAGAAGCACAGGUGCAUUGCUCUUUGUGAAUUUGCAGCAAAUUGGAUAGGAGCCAUACAUCCCCAACAAGCGACUUUCUGCAGCAUGAUAAUGAUGACCUCUGAACAAGCUCAUAAUUGAGGAUACAUUAGAUGUAAUCCAUGAGUUUGAAUAUAUGCACUUACUGAAUUAGGAUCAUGUAAGAAUACACUAUCACGGAUGCAUGCACACAUGGAUCUAUACAAUUCAUCAUGAGUGUGAAUUUGUAUGUAUGCAGUUUUUGAUCAACAGUUUCCGCUUUCAUUUAUAUCUGACUCUGAAUGCCUUGCUGAAGCUGUAGACUGGCCAGAGAAUUUUCACUUGUUCCACAACAUCAGAUUAGUUUUGUGGGAGGAUCUAGUAAUCACUAAGGCUUUUUUUGUAAUUUAUUUCAUUGGCAUAAUUAAUAUAGAUAUAAUUUGAAUUGUUCCAUUUAGUUUCUUUCUCAACCUAUUUAAACAUCAUUUUCAAUAUUAUACCAUAAGAUAUGGUCCUGGGAUUGCUGUAAUGUUAAACAUUUUCUGAUGAAUCUUUGAUUUCAUUUGAUGAUGAAAGGAAAAGCGGAUAUCAUCAGCUCCA
Molecule: RNA transcript, 3657 nt
Organism: Phoenix dactylifera (date palm)
Lineage: Eukaryota; Viridiplantae; Streptophyta; Magnoliopsida; Arecales; Arecaceae
Gene name: RAD3-like DNA-binding helicase protein
Source: RefSeq, a predicted model, not a curated record